GUUCUGAGCAAGGAACUGAAACGUUAGCUUUCUUACAUGGCACAUAUUGCACUUUUACUUUCUUCUCCAACACUUAGUUUUUGAAUGAUUUAAAAAUCAUAAUCGGUCGACCUCUAACACAGAGGAUAAAUGUUCAUUCAUUAAUAUUUUAGGAUGGGGCGGGAGGAAAAACAUGAAAAGUUGUUGGUUCGAAUCCCCGAGAUGCCUAGGUGAAAAAUCUGUCAAAUCAAGUCGCCGUGUCCACGAAUGCAGGAGAGAGGGGUUUGUUGAUAUAUUAUUGAAUCCCUGAGAUGACUAGGUGAUAGAGACAGAGGGUUUGUUGAUAUAUUAUUGAAUCCCUGAGAUGACUAGGUGAUAGAGACAGAGAGGGUUUGUUGAUAUAUUAAUGAAUCCCUGAGAUGACUAGGUGAUAGAGACAGAGAGGGUUUGUUGAUAUAUUAAUGAAUCCCUGAGAUGACUAGGUGAUAGAGACAGAGGGGUUUGUUGAUAUAUUAAUGAAUCCCUGAGAUGACUAGGUGAUAGAGACAGAGGGGUUUGUUGAUAUAUUAAUGAAUCCCUGAGAUGACUAGGUGAUAGAGACAGAGAGGGUUUGUUGAUAUAUUAAUGAAUCCCUGAGAUGACUAGGUGAUAGAGACAGAGAGGGUUUGUUGAUAUAUUAAUGAAUCCCUGAGAUGACUAGGUGAUAGAGACAGAGAGGGUUUGUUGAUAUAUUAAUGAAUCCCUGAGAUGACUAGGUGAUAGAGACAGAGAGGGUUUGUUGAUAUAUUAAUGAAUCCCUGAGAUGACUAGGUGAUAGAGACAGAGGGGUUUGUUGAUAUAUUAAUGAAUCCCUGAGAUGACUAGGUGAUAGAGACAGAGAGGGUUUGUUGAUAUAUUAAUGAAUCCCUGAGAUGACUAGGUGAUAGAGACAGAGAGGGUUUGUUGAUAUAUUAAUGAAUCCCUGAGAUGACUAGGUGAUAGAGACAGAGGGGUUUGUUGAUAUAUUAAUGAAUCCCUGAGAUGACUAGGUGAUAGAGACAGAGAGGGUUUGUUGAUAUAUUAAUGAAUCCCUGAGAUGACUAGGUGAUAGAGACAGAGAGGGUUUGUUGAUAUAUUAAUGAAUCCCUGAGAUGACUAGGUGAUAGAGACAGAGAGGGUUUGUUGAUAUAUUAAUGAAUCCCUGAGAUGACUAGGUGAUAGAGACAGAGGGGUUUGUUGAUAUAUUAAUGAAUCCCUGAGAUGACUAGGUGAUAGAGACAGAGAGGGUUUGUUGAUAUAUUAAUGAAUCCCUGAGAU
Long non-coding RNA from Oncorhynchus keta (chum salmon), 1275 nucleotides. RefSeq lists it as uncharacterized. NCBI's taxonomy places the organism in Eukaryota, Metazoa, Chordata, Actinopteri, Salmoniformes, Salmonidae. The transcript has 7 exons. The record is from RefSeq and is a predicted model, not a curated record.